GGGCGGUUAGCUCAGUUGGGAGAGCGUCUGGUUUACACCCAGAAGGUCAGUGGUUCGAGCCCGCUACCGCCCA
Molecule: transfer RNA, 73 nt
Filed under: Spirochaetaceae bacterium
Lineage: Bacteria; Pseudomonadati; Spirochaetota; Spirochaetia; Spirochaetales; Spirochaetaceae
Also listed under: 1 other name
Description: tRNA-Val
Rfam family: tRNA
About the family: Transfer RNA (tRNA) molecules are approximately 80 nucleotides in length. Their secondary structure includes four short double-helical elements and three loops (D, anti-codon, and T loops).
Source: RNAcentral